GUUUGUCCGAGUCUUUAGGUAUUUGAUUAUUUGAUUUAGUGGCUGAGAAAGUGUAGUAUAUGAUCUUAUUUUAUAGGAGUCGUGGUUAGUGCUGGGAUGUAGUGCUCUAUCAGCUCUGAUGUAAAGCCUAUUUAUAGAUUCUUCUCUCUAUCAAUAUUAUUACAGUGUUUUUCACUUCACCAUACGCCUCUUUUGUGUUUAAUAACUCUGUAUCAAAAUCAUUAAAUCAAUCAUACAAUACAAAAAAAUUGCUUCCAUCUCAUGUUCUUCGUUUUCUUCCUCAAAUUAAAUCUUACACUCACCAUUUUGAACAACACCAAUCAUCUCCAUUAACACUUUCUUUCUUCACAAACCCCCCUGUUAUUCAAAGAACAUAACCACGAAUCAGAAACUAAAGAAGACAUUAACAUGGGAAAAAAAUUACCCUAUUUAUUAAUACCCAUUAAACUACCAUCAUAUACCAAUAAUUUAUACACGGAAAUAUAUUUAAUACCUCCAAAUAAUAAACCCAUAAAUCAAAAAAAUUAUCAAUCAUUGACUUAAUUGUAAGCUCUGCAAUGAACUAGAGUUUCGUUUGGGUUUGGGUAUGAAGAAUUUUUAUUAUGGAGGAAGAGCAGAUGGAUAAAAUUAGGGUGCGAAAGAGACGAACUCUCUGUCUUCUUCAACCUCCAGUUCCGUAUCACCUUCUUAACCUCCAGAUCUGUAUCACCAUUAUCCGCGUAAAGGAGCAAGGAAUAAUCAUAUUCAAUUUUUUCCUCUUCCUCCUUUCAAAAUCGGCUAUUGAAGAACUAUUUUUUGCGGCAAAAUACUUCGACCUUUUCGACAGUGACUAUGGCUGCUAGCACAGAUUUUUGGUGAUGGUUGAUUUGUGAUUGAGGCUUGUUCAUGGUGAAUCGGAGGCUACGUCAAAAUCUAUGGAAGUUCACGACAUGUUAGUGAUUUGGAUUCAACUUUUGUUUGAGGCUUUUUUUUAUUUAUAAAUUCGUUUAAUUAAA
This 995-nucleotide long non-coding RNA is filed under the name Panax ginseng (ginseng). RNAcentral describes it as "long non-coding RNA (PGIN_LNC016911)". Lineage: Eukaryota; Viridiplantae; Streptophyta; Magnoliopsida; Apiales; Araliaceae. The record is from RNAcentral.